Molecule: ribosomal RNA, 429 nt
Filed under: uncultured bacterium
Lineage: Bacteria
Description: partial 16S ribosomal RNA
Rfam family: Bacterial small subunit ribosomal RNA
Source: RNAcentral
AACGAACGCUGGCGGCAGGCUUAACACAUGCAAGUCGAACGCCCCGCAAGGGGAGUGGCAGACGGGUGAGUACCGCGUGGGAACAUACCCUUUUCUACGGAAUAGCUCUGGGAAACUGGAAUUAAUACCGUAUACGCCCUACGGGGGAAAGAUUUAUCGGGGAAGGAUUGGCCCGCGUUGGAUUAGCUAGUUGGUGGGGUAAAGGCCUACCAAGGCGACGAUCCAUAGCUGGUCUGAGAGGAUGAUCAGCCACAUUGGGACUGAGACACGGCCCAAACUCCUACGGGAGGCAGCAGUGGGGAAUAUUGGACAAUGGGCGCAAGCCUGAUCCAGCCAUGCCGCGUGAGUGAUGAAGGCCUUAGGGUUGUAAAGCUCUUUCACCGAUGAAGAUAAUGACGGUAGUCGGAGAAGAAGCCCCGGCUAACUUCG